GUGUCUUAAGUAGCAGAAACUCAUUUUCUCCAAACUGCAUUUAGCUAACUUUCAUUUGAUCCAUGACCUUUUCUCCAGCACUCUCUCGGCCAUUUUUAUUACCUGCUCCAAAAGCUUGAUUGCUCAAACCCCAAUGAAUUACUUUCUCCUGUGUAUACUGAAAUAAGCACAAUUUUUUCCCCAAAAUGCAGGAAUCCUCAUUUAACACAUUCAGGUUGCACACAUCUGUCAAUAACUGAACUCCAGAACAUUUAACUGCUUUCAACGUUUUUAACAGCACACCAUUUGGGCCAACUGCUUUACCCAUCUCCCUCUUUUUUCUUUGUAUCUCCCCAAAGAAGCACACUCACAGGUUAAGAACUUGUGCUGUAUUAU
Long non-coding RNA from Erpetoichthys calabaricus (reedfish), 375 nucleotides. RefSeq lists it as uncharacterized. NCBI's taxonomy places the organism in Eukaryota, Metazoa, Chordata, Cladistia, Polypteriformes, Polypteridae. The transcript has 2 exons. The record is from RefSeq and is a predicted model, not a curated record.